GACGAACGCUGGCGGCGUGCUUAACACAUGCAAGUCGAACGGUAAGGCCCUUCGGGGUACACGAGUGGCGAACGGGUGAGUAACACGUGGGUAAUCUGCCCUGCACAUCGGGAUAAGCCUGGGAAACUGGGUCUAAUACCGAAUAGGACCACAGGACACAUGUCCUGUGGUGGAAAGCUUUUGCGGUGUGGGAUGGGCCCGCGGCCUAUCAGCUUGUUGGUGGGGUGAUGGCCUACCAAGGCGACGACGGGUAGCCGGCCUGAGAGGGUGUCCGGCCACACUGGGACUGAGAUACGGCCCAGACUCCUACGGGAGGCAGCAGUGGGGAAUAUUGCACAAUGGGCGAAAGCCUGAUGCAGCGACGCCGCGUGGGGGAUGACGGCCUUCGGGUUGUAAACCUCUUUCACCAUCGACGAAGGUCCGGGUGUUCUCGGGCUGACGGUAGGUGGAGAAGAAGCACCGGCCAACUACGUG
This 474-nucleotide ribosomal RNA is filed under the name uncultured bacterium. Its description in RNAcentral is "partial 16S ribosomal RNA". It matches the Rfam family "Bacterial small subunit ribosomal RNA", at positions 28 to 507 of the family's 1533-position model. The record is from RNAcentral.